This 23803-nucleotide long non-coding RNA is filed under the name Triticum aestivum (bread wheat). RNAcentral describes it as "long non-coding RNA (TAES_LNC015042)". The record is from RNAcentral. Lineage: Eukaryota; Viridiplantae; Streptophyta; Magnoliopsida; Poales; Poaceae.
AAGAGGAUCUCCAGAUGCAAAUAUACGACCGUAGGUAGUACUUCUUCAGUCAAGCCUCAUAGCAGAGUCGGUCCGGUUCGUCGGUUGCGCGUUUGAGUCAUGGUGGGCUUCCUUUGUCUUAGGGUCGGUUGUUUUCCGGGGGACGCUUUAGCCAAGCGCUCGUUUUUUGCAGGCCUCCUCUCGCGAGGUUGCCUGUUCCUUGAGCCUUCGGCUGCCAUUUGCGUGGCACCCUGUCCCUCUACCCCCAACCUAUGCCCUUGUGAUUACAGUCCCUACACCAUGCUUCUUUUUUUCUCUCCUUAUCAAGUCCUGUGUGGGAGCUCAAAUAUUGUCAGUUGUGUCUUCUUUUCCAGUACAAUCUGGUUCCAGAGUUUGUGGGACAUCAAUACUUCUGGUUUCAAUUCCAUAGCAAGUUCUAUUUGUCGGAUUUGUCGGUGUGUGCCUGUCGUAGAAGCUUGACUCCGGUUCUUCGAUCCGUGUCUAGGUGUCUGCUACGAUCUCUUUCAGUGUGUGGUUGUUCCAGUUCCAGUCUCUUCAUGGUCUGUAGUGUGUGUGUGCUGUGCGUGUGUGUCGUCGGCGGUGGAUGGUCGCUUUUCUGCAGCAUCUGUAGGGGUUGCCUGAUGUCCCCGGGGAUCUGGCCUUGGCAAGGUGCAACAUAUCAAAGGGCCCUUGCCAUGACAACCUUGUGUGGUUGUUUUUUGUCUCCAGAUCCCCGGUUUUUGCAGGCGUGUGGUUGAGUGCUGUAACCUUUGCAAUCAUCCUGGGAUAAAUUUGUUUCCGUCCAAUUUCUAUGCUUUUACUUACCUGCAACCUUGUGAUUUUAUGAAUUGCUACUUCCUUGUACUGUGUCUAAAUGUCUGUGAUAUGGCCGGAGCUGCUGUGCUUGAUGCCACCACUGAGAUGAACAUCUCGCAGCCACCCUUGACAACUGCAUGAAAUAUAUUUUUGGCUCUGAAUUUUGCUGAAUCGUAUUGCUGAUUGAAACAACAUCCGGUAUAUGCUGUAUGCUUGGGGAACUGUGAAAUUCUUUUCCAAAUGUUCUCAAACAGGUUCUGGUGUACGUAAAAUUGUGCUAAGAUCACCUGUUUCGCUUCUUGAUCUUCAUCAGCAGGACCGUGUAUUUGCAUCUCCGAAUCCUGGUUCCUCGGCUUCGGCUACUAGAUAGGAUAGCUUAAGAGUUUUAGUCCUUAUAAGGGCAACGCUUCGACAGAGUUUUAGUCCUUAUAAGAGCAAUACUUACAUUCAUUUUUGUAUUUCGGACUUCGAUCCUCCUUAAGUUUGUUUGUUGGGUCGGAUUAGAUAGAGCCCCGAUAUAGAUUCCUGUCAGCUCCCUAUUCCUGUCAGCUCCCUGGACUGGUUAAUUUUUUUUGUUGUGCAUAUGUGACGACGAUAUUUGAUGGCAGGUUCUUCGGCUCGAUUUGAUUCAAUGGUUCAACGGUGGUGACUAUGGCUCCGGGGUGUUGGUCCUUAAGAGCAUGGGCAUGAAGACCUAGUACGGAAGCGGCAACAAUGGCGCGUCGACGGCUCACUUUGGCAGCGACGGUGUUGUUUGGUAAUACAAAGGCCUCGAUAUAAUUUCAAUUAUGUUCUUGACGCUUCGUGCUAACAAAUCUGGGUUUUCUGGAAAAGAAAAAGAAAUGUGCCAGAUCAACAGGCAGCCCCUGAAGGUCUUUGCCGUCCGACGUUGCCAAGUAGUACCAGCAUGAAGUUUGGCCCAGCCUUGUAGCUACCGGCUCCUCCUCCUUUCCGUUCGGGUGAGUAGGCAGGUCCAUGUGCGUCCCCUCGCCGCCGUCCCUCUCAUCCCAUUCUUCGUCUUGCUUCCGUCCUCCCCCACCUCCUGCCCCGGUUCAUGCACCUCUUCCGUUUGCUGCCUCGCUAAUCGCCCUACGUCACCGGGGUGACGAGAUUACCGGUCGAGUGUUGGCAAUAAUAAAGGCCGUUGCUUUGCUUUCGUGAGCCUUCUGGUUUUGGUGCGAGAGGCGGCCAGGUUCGUCGCCCAAUGGCAUGAAGGGUAGUUGCACUAGCGGUAGAGUAUUAUGAGUAUGAUCACGGCGUGCACGCCGUGGCCAAAUGGGGACGUUGCAACGCACAUUUGACUAUGCCAGCGUCGCCGUCGGACGACCCUUUCUACUCCUCGAUCAUGGUAGCACCCAGAUUUUUUAUCCUGGCAGCACCCAGAUAUUGGCGUACAGGUGUAGUGUGCAUCCACGGUUGUUCAACGCCCCUCUCCUCGUGUAAAGAAGCGUCGUCGCGUCCACUGCUUUUGGUGAGAUAGGUGGACACAAACGGUGGAUGUGAAAUACUAUGUCGCGAUCGAACAAUCUUGACGGGAUCCAGGGCGAAAUUGUGCAUAGUGGUAGCAUGAAGUUUCCCUGGCCGGUUCCUCCUCUCCAGCGAGCAAGCUUUUCUUGCUGUUGUUCUUCCCCUGCUCCGGUACGUGCACCUGUGGACGUCAUUACUCAUUAGGGUGGCGAGCGAAAUUACCGGUCGAUUGCUUUGCAUCAAAGGCCCGCUGCUCUGGUUAUUAUACUUUUCCUUCCUGGGAGGAGGCCAGGUUCGUCUGGAUUUUGUUGGGAUAUGACAUGAAAAGUUCACGAUUGGAGUGUGAUGGUUAUUUAUUGUUGACGCAUGCCUCCUGACCUGGUCACCCACGUCCUCUCUCUCACGUUCCCACGUUCUGCCACCACUGCAUGCUCAACUGCUCGCACGAGUCUCUGCCACUACGGUGUGCACGAUUGUACAUGUAAAACUAUAUAAGCUGAUCAAUACGAUGUCAAGCACGACAGUGUGCAUUGCUCAAUCUGUCUUCAUGGUAUCAGACGCUCGUCGUUCCUGAGCCUCUCCAGUUCUUCCGCUGCCCCGCUCUGGUGAGCACGAUGGCCACUCCUCCCCCAGGCUAUGUUCGUGACCUCGCCGGAGCCUUUGACCAGGCCGGCGCACCUACCGCGGGUGCCGCUCCCGGCGUCAGCAUCGCCCCUGCUGCCCCCGUAUCUGCCGCGCCUCCUGCACCUCCUACGGCACCGGCGCCACCAGUGCCGGCCUCGACCGCGCUCUUCAUCCCCCCUGCGCCUGUCUUCCCCUUCGCGACUGCCUCGGCUGCUCCCAUCCCUGCUCCAUCGCCACUCAGCGCCGUCUACAUCAACCAGCAUGUGCCGGUCGUGCUCAGCCUCAACCCGUCGAACUACUCGCCGUGGCGCACCAUGUUCGAGUUGGCCUUUGCCAAAUUCGGUGUUCUGGAUCACAUCCUCGGCGCGCCGCGUCCCACCGACGCGCAGUGGGUGCAGGACGACGCGUUCAUCACUUCAUGGCUGCUGAACCGCGUGUCGCCGGAGAUCCUCUCCCUCGUCCACCAGCGCCACCCCACUGCGGCGCACAUUUGGAGCGCCAUCGCGACGCUCUUCCUCGACAAUGCGGAGACCCAGGCGGUGUUCAUCGGCACCGACUUCCGUCGCCGACAUGACCAUGCUGCGCUACUUCGCCCGGCUCAAGGAGUACGCCGAUCAGCUGGCUGACCUCGGCUUCCCCGUUGACGACAAGGCGCAGGUGAUGAACAUGUUCCGUGGCCUCAACCCACGGUACUUCUACGCCAUCCCGAUCCUCACGAUGCAGGUCCCCUUCCCAUCGUUUCUGCGCUGCCGCGCGUUCCUGAUCCUGGAGGAAUCGCGCCUGAACAUGGCGUCGCCCGCGCCAACUGACAUGGCUCUGCAUGCUGGCCGUGCACCCGCUGCUGCUGCACCGGCGCCGGCGCCGGCGCCCCCAACCAACUCCACUCGCAACGGCAACCGGAACCGGAACAAGGGCAAGGGCAAGGCGGUCCAGUCGUCCGGCUACGCCGACGGCUCAUCCAGCGGCUCAUCGUCAACUGGCGGCCUGCCAGCAGGGCGCCUCGUCCAGCUUCCUGCACCCGCCACGAACCCAUGGACGGGCAUGGUUCACGCCUGGCCCAUGCCGUGGCGUGCUCACGCUCCCGGAGCUGGCGUCCUCGGCCCGCGCCCUGGCGCUCCAUCACCGUUCGCCGGACACGCCGCCCACUACGCGCCGCCGCCACCGCCCCCGGCUGCACCCACCUACCAAGGUGCGGCCUGGGACCAAUCAGCGUUGGUUCAGGCCCUCAACAACCUGUCGCUCCAACAGCAGCAGGCGCCGCCGCCGCCAUCGAGUGAGUGGUACCUCGACACCGGCGCCACGUCGCACAUGUCGUCCUCGUCAGGUAUGCUCUCCGAUCUCAGUCCCUCUUCUUCCCGUAUAGUUUUUGGCAACGGCAACACGCUGCCAGCCCUGCACUCCGGCCACCUCGCAAUACCAACAUCUACCACACCCAUCCACUUACACAACGUUCUUGUCUCUCCCUCACUAAUCAAAAACCUCAUAUCUGUUAAAACUCUCUGUCGUGAUAAUCCUGUUAAUGUCGAGUUUGACGAUUUCGGUUUUUCUAUCAAGGACCGACGAACCCGGAGGGUGAUCCUCCGAUGUAACUCCACCGGCGACCUGUACCGCGUCAGCGUGCCCCCGCUCCACUGCAGCCUCCACGCCCACGCCUCCAUCUCUGCCGAUGUCUGGCACCGGCGACUCGCCACCCAGGACGCACCACGCUUGCUCGGGCGCUUCGAUCCAUCGCCCCUGGCGCUCAUGAUGCACCAGCUCGUACUUGUCAUGCAUGUCAAUUAGGAAAAAAUGUUAGAUUUCCCUUUCCAGAUUCACAUCAUGUUUCCUAUUUUCCAUUUCAACUUGUACAUUGUGAUGUCUGGACAUCACCUAUCUUAAGUGCAUCAGGUUUCCGUUAUUACUUGUUGCUUCUCGAUGACUACAGCCACUUCUCUUGGACAUUUCCCUUGCGCUACAAAUCAGAUGCCUUUGCUGCUAUCCAACGUUUUCGUGCGCUAGUUCAGACACACUUCAACCUGCCGAUCCUUACUCUACAAGCUGACAACGGACGAGAGUUCGACAGCCAUGCCGCCCGCGCCUUCUUCGAUACCUAUGGCAUCGCGUUUCGCAUGUCUUGCCCUUACACGUCUUCGCAAAACGGGCGUGCCGAGCGCAUGCUCCGCACCCUAAACGAGACUGUCCGUGCCCUGCUCACCCAAGCGUCCAUGCCGCCCACGUUCUGGGCCGAAGCUCUCGCCACGGCCACCUUCCUUCACAACCGUCGCCCGUGCCGUGUUCGCCAGUACCUUACUCCUUUUGAGCUUUUGUACUGCGCCCCUCCCGAUUAUAGUGGCAUCCGCGUCUUCGGAUGCCUCUGCUACCCGAACACCAGCGCCACUACCGCCCACAAGCUUGCGCCGCGCUCUGUUGCCUGCGUAUUCCUCGGCUACUCGUCGGAGCACAAGGGCUACCGGUGCCUCAACCGCGCCACCGGCCGCGUGCUCAUCUCCCGCCAUGUUUACUUCAACGAGGAACAAUUCCCCUUCGCCUCCAUUGAUGCCACACCCCUGCCUACUUCGGUCGUCGAGGACUUCCAGCCUCAGCCCUCGCCUCCGCCUACUGGGACACCAAGUGUGCCCUCCACAUGCCACCAGCAGCCUGCCGUAGCAGCGUCCAUUUCCUGCCGCCACAGCACCCCCGUUGUCACAUCCCUAGUCUGGUAUGACCUAGACUAGCUAGCCAUUUGUGCAUCAUAUUUAAAUUUCAUUUAAAUUUGAAAUGAGGAUCGGUGGAACCCUCAGAAUCAUUUUUGAAAAUGACCCAAAUAAAAAUUUCUCCAAAAGGGUCCAAGAAAAUGCUCAUGUUGCCCUCUGAAAGGACAGAGAUAAAAAUCAAAACAAUAUUUUUAGGAGCUCAUGAAUAUUUAUUUUGGCCAUUUGGAUUAAUCCGAUAAAUAUUUGCAUUGGAAAUAUAUUUCUAUAUAUAUGAAAUAUGGUCCAAAAAUUAUGCCAAUUAUAAAAGAGCUCUGGAAUAAUAUAUCUAGCUCCUGCAAAAAUUGGCAUAAGGUAAUAAAUUGAUUUAGUAUUUUAUUAAAUCAAAACAAAUGUCAGAAAAAAAUUAGAAAACAAAAUAAAAGGAAGGAGGGGCUUACCUGGGGCUCCCCCCUGUGCAGCCCAGCCGCAGCAGGCCGGCCCAGCCAGCAGGCGGCCCAGCCCACCUGCCCCCCCUCCUCUGUCGUCUUCCUCCCCGACAGGGGGACGGCGCGUGCCCGGCGCGCGCGCGCGCCACCGCGCCACGCCACCUCCCUCCCUGCUUGCCUGGCGCCUCCUCGUCGCCCUGGAACGCCGGACGACGCCACGCAGCCCCCCCGUACCCUCUCACUCUUCCCCGAUCCUUCCUCUCCUCUCCCUCGCUCUCUCUCUCCCGUGUCCGAACGCGUGGGUCGCCGCCGUUCGCCAUAGCCAUCGCCACCGGUCUCCCCUCGCCUCCCCGACACGCGCAGGAGCUUCGCCCCCUCGCCCUGAAGCUCCUCGUCAAGCCGUGCCCCUCCGGACGUCCCGUGGAGCCGCCGCCGUCGUCUUUUCCAUCGCCGGCCGCUGUGGAUCCCCAUCGACGCUCCGGCCGCUUCAGUGCGUCCCCGAGCCCACUUCGACUGCCGCUGCAACCGCGGUGAGCUCCGCCACCGCUUCCCCCUCCCCGUUUAACUGCCCGCGCGCCGUAGCACCGUUCCCCACCACGGCCGAAGCCUCUCGCCGCCGUCCAUGUCGCCGUCGCCGUCUCGGCCCGCCUCCGCCCAAACUAAGCACCCUAGCGUGCUCCCGGUGCCACGAGGGUGCCGCCGAGCCCCUCAGGUGGCCUCCCCGUGCCCCGCAGCCCAUUUCCGCUCGAAGCCGAACUCCGGCCGCCGCCCCGAGCUUCGCUCCGGCGAGCUCCGGCAUCCCCGCGGCUUCCCGUCUGCUCCCCUGGAUGCGGACGAGCCCGGGCUACGCCCCGGUGCUCUCAGACGCCGUCCCCGUGGCCUGUGGCGCGGACUCCGCCGCGUCCAGAGGUCGCCGGCGGCGAGCCCCGUCGCCUGAGCCCUGCCAUGAGGGCCCGGCCCGUCAGGUGAUUAGCUUAGUGCUAAUCACCAUUUAAUUAACCCCCCUGACACUGACAGUGGGCCCCAGCGCCACUAACUUCUAAUUAGGAUUUAAUUAACCCCUGUUUAACCCCCCUGUCACUGACGUGUGGACCCCACGUGUCAGAUUUGACCUGGACAGCCGCGUUGACCCGCUGAUGUAGUGAUGACGUCAUGCUGACGCAAUUAUAUAUUUUCUGGAAUUAAAAUAAUUCAGAAAUUCCAGAAAAUGAUUUAAACUUCAAAAAUUCAUAGAAAUUCAACCGUAGCUCAGAUUGAAAUAUUUUAUAUAUGAAAAAUUAUCAAAAAAAUGCAAUCUUUCCAUCUGUACUAGUUUCAUGCAUGACAAACCAACUUAUACAUGCUGAAUAUGAGAAAACACAUUAUGGCAUAUUAAGAGACUUAUUUUUGGAGUUGCAUUUGAACCUUUUGUUCAAAUGGACUUCAUUCAAUUGAAUACUAGUUGCAUUAGCUCAAACAGCAUCACAUCUACAUGCCAUGUUCAUGCAUCAUAUUGUUGCAUAUGAUUGUGUAUUGAUUGCCGGCACCGUUCUUUCUCGAUAGGUCCUGCUCCGGAGACGUUCCAGAGUACCUGUCUGUGAAGCAGUGCCUCCCUUGUUGAUUUACCAGGCAAGCAAACCCCCUUGUUCAUUUCGAUAAAACCCUACUCUCUCGCUCCUGCUCUCAGUUAUUGCAUUAGGACAACAACGGUUCAUCUGCUACUUUGUGCUGCGGUAGUUGAACCCAUUCCUCUGCAUGACCUGUCAUUGCCACAGUAAAUAGUUAAAACCCACUAGCAUGUGUAGGAGUUGAUUGAAGCCAUUGUUGUGUUCCUACCAUGCUAUGCCUGCUAUUGCUUAGAGUUGUGUCAGGUCUGGUUCAUUGGGAAUGAAUUGGAGUGUCACGAUAUGUUCUGAUGCUGAGAGUGAAGUGUGUGAACACGAUUUGGUAAAGGUAGCGGUGAGAGGCCAUGUAGGAGUACAUGGUGGGUUGUCUCACUGGAACCGUCCUUAAGCACCGAGUUCUAUGUAUGUUGUCCAAUGACUCGAUACUACCACACAUUGGGCUCCGGGCGCUCCAAGCCCUCUCGACUUAUUAACCGACUUGAUCUCUGUCCAGGAGUCGCAACUAGUUUCUGGUGUUUGUAGGUAGUGCUAUUUUUCUACCAGGUGGCACCCGGCAGGGUGGGCUUGGGACAGACUAGGCACACGUGGCACGGUGUACCGAGUGGCACCCGGUUGGUGGGCUCGGGAACCCUGCUCACAUCGUUUGGGGCCGUGAGCGACACCCCGGCCGGAUCUCCUUGCGGAUGGAACCNNNNNNNNNNNNNNNNNNNNNNNNNNNNNNNNNNNNNNNNNNNNNNNNNNNNNNNNNNNNNNNNNNNNNNNNNNNNNNNNNNNNNNNNNNNNNNNNNNNNNNCAUUACCCUCUUGAUACAAAUGCAUGUAUGAUAGGAUCUGAUGUAAGUCUUGCUGAGUACCUUUGUACUCAUGUUGCUUUAUUUAUGCUUUUGCAGCGGAGACUCCGGUCUUACUAGUGUUCUCGUGGACUUCGACUAGUAGCUAGUACCUCAGCUACGAUCUUGAUCGGAUGUUGUAGAUAGUCAGGCUCUUCAGCCUUUUUCAUUUAUAGAUGUCUGUACUCAGACAUGUAAUGCUUCCGCUUGUUGUUUGAUUGCUCUGACUGUUGGGUCAUGUGACCCCUGUUUGUAAUAAUGCUGUGAUGGCUCUUCUGAGCCUUUAUCUAUAUAAGUUGUUGAGUUAUGCUGUGAUGCCAUGUUGUACAGCACAUACUUGCAUGUUAUGCGUACGUGUAAUGUGUAUUGCUAUGUGUGGGAUCUGACUAUCUAGUUGUUUAUCCUUAGUAGCCUCUCUUACCGGGAAAUGUCUCCUAGUGCUUCCACUGAGCCCUGGUAGCUUGCUACUGCUCCGGAACACUUAGGCUGGCCGGCAUGUGUCCUUCUUCGUUCCUGUGUCUGUCCCUUCGGGGAAAUGUCACGCGAUGAAUACCGGAGUCCUGUUAGCCCGCUACAGCCCGGUUCACCGGAGUCCUGUUAGCCCAGUGCUACAGCCUGGAUUCACUCGCUGAUGACCGACACGUUCGAUGCUGGGUCAUGGAUGCCUGUCCCUGUAAGUUAGUGCCACUUUGGGUUUACGACUAGCCAUGUCAGCCCGGGCUCUUUAUCAUAUGGAUGCUAGCAACACCAUCAUAUACGUGUGCCAAAAGGCGCAAACGGUCCCGGGCAAAAGUAAGGCGACACCCGUGGGGAUACCGUGCGUGAGGCCGCAAAGUGAUAUGAGGUGUUACAUGCUAGAUCGAUGUGGCAUUGAGUCGGGGUCCUGACAGCGCUGGUAUCAGAUCCUGACUGCCUGUAGGAUUACCAAGCCAAACUGGUCGAAGUUGAGUCUAGAAAAUCUUUAGUUAUGUAAGGGAAUUGAUUGUGGGAAGGAACGUAAGGCUCUUUUUACUCCUUAUACCUCAUGACCUUCUGAUCUGAGUCGUCCUAUCUUUCCGACGGGGUUAAGGAACUAGGCUUUCUCUUCCGUCUAUCAGGAUCACGUGUUACUACUCCGUAGUCCCAUAGGAUUGGUUGAUCAGAGUCAUACCCCAGUUUUCGAGUACUUCCAGUGUAGUCUGUUUAGUACUACCUCCGAACUUUGAGUGAUGAUGAUGAGUAUGUUACCACCCCAUUUUUAGUAGGAUGUCUCAUUCUGAGCAUUUUGCUGCCGUUAUGCUGCCGGAAUUUUCCUAGGAGUUCGAGAGAUACUAAUUCCUUGUCCUACAUUCUACAGUCUAUAGUUGAUGCUGAUUCCGUCCCUGGUUUUCGUUUCUCAGGAUGUCAUCAAGUUCUAUUGUUCGUAGCCGGAACCAUGAGGAUGGUAGGGAUGAGGAUCCUCCUGACUAGCCUUCGUUGACAGAGUUCAUGUUAGAAAUGGAGAGGAACAAGCGUGAGUCCAACCGCUUGUUGGCACGUAUCGAGGAGAACACCGCACAUCAGUUCAAAGGGUCUGCUACCAUUCAUGACUUCAUUCGUUUGCAUCCCCCCACCUUUCAUCAUUCCAUCGAGCCACUCGAUGCAGAUGACUGGCUCCGUAGCAUCACUCAUAAGCUGCGUUCCGCGAGCGUAGCUGAAGAUGACAAGGUCACUUAUGCCACAUACCACCUGGAAGGUCCUGCUAGUCUUUGGUGGCAGAACUAUGAGGCUUUGCUUCCAGCUGGCCAGAUUCCUACCUGGAGAGAUUUCACUCAGGCUUUUCGCGAGCAUCACGUUCCCCAGGCCCUCAUUGAUCGCAAGAGAGAAGAGUUCUGCAGUUUCACCCAGAGUAAGAUGGCUGUUGAUGCUUAUAGCAGAGAGUUUGAGAACCUCGCCCGUUAUGCCACAGAAGAAGUGUCCACGGACGCCAAGAAGCAGGCUAGGUUCCGAAAGGGUCUCAACCCCAAGUUGCGUCGUGAUCUCCACCUGCAUCAUUGUGAUACAUUCCAAGCCCUUGUGAACAAGGCCAUCAAUGCAGAGACAGCUCAACUCACUUACGAGGAGUCUCGUAAGCACACCCGUGAUUUGGGAUCUCCCUCUGGCUCUAGUUCCCAGAAACGCCGGAUUUGGGUUCCAAACUCCGCUCUUCCUUCCGGAUAUGCACCGAGGCCAUCCUAUGUGGUGCCUUCCCCAGCUCAGUCGUGUGUUCCACCCUUGCCUACUGGUAGACUGCUUGUUAGUGCGGGUCCAUGUCCAACCUUAGGGACUUGCUUCACAUGCGGGAAGCCAGGACACUAUGCACGUGAUUGCUCUCAGACUAGUUAUGCUCCACCCCAGCCCGAGAAGACUGUUGACUGUAUUAAGCCAUCACGCAAGAUGAUCAGUGUCCAGUUAGCUCCCACUGAACAUGGACAUGUGCAUCACGUCUCAGCUAAAGACGCUCAUGAUGAUCCAGAUGUCGUUCUUGGUACACUCCUUGUCAAUUGUCACCCAGCAUCAGUUCUAUUCGAUACUGGAGCAUCUCACUCCUUCAUUUCUGAAAGCUAUGCUAACCUGCACAAUCUGUCAUUUUGUGAUAUGCCAACUCCGCUAGUCAUGCAAACUCCUGGAUCCAAAUGGCAAACCUCUAGUGUAAGCCAUGGUAACGAAAUCCUUGUUGACAGACUUGUAUUCCUUGCCUCACUUGUAGCCCUCAAGUCCUCAGAUAUUAACAUCAUCUUGGGUAUGGAAUGGAUGACAGCUCAUCAUGCCAAGAUUGAUUGUUACACCAGAUCUGUUCAGCUUACACACCCAUCUGGCAAGAUAGUCACCGUCUCCACUAGAGUUGCAAAGCGUCAGCUCUAUUCUCUUAAUGCCAGCCCUCUUCCAGACCUUGAAGAUAUCCCGGUAGUCCGUGACUUUCCGGAUGUCUUUUCAGAGGAACUGCCAGGUGUUCCACCUGACAGAGAUGUAGAGUUCGUCAUAGAUCUUAUCCCAAGAACAGCUCCAAUCUCCCGGAGACCUUACAAGAUGGCACCCUUAGAACUAGCCGAGCUUAAGAAACAACUUGAUGAGUCCUUGCAAAAGGGUUUCAUCCGUCCUAGUUCUUCUCCUUGGGCUUGCCCCGUUCUCUUCGUCAAGAAGAAGGAUGGUACGGACCGGAUGGUUGUAGAUUAUCGUCCCGUUAAUUUGGUCACGAUAAAGAAUAAGUAUCCGCUCCCUAGGAUCAACGACCUGUAUGAUCAGCUCGCUGGAUCCUCAGUCUUCUCCAAGAUGGAUUUGAGGUUAGGAUACCACCAAAUCAAAAUCAGAAAUGGGGACAUUCCCAAGACAGAUUUUGUCACUCGUUAUGGUCAGUACGAGUACACCGUCAUGUCCUUUGGCCUAACCAACGCCCCAGCCACAUUCUCCCGCUUGAUGAACUCGAUCUUCAUGGAGUACUUAGAUAAGUUCGUCGUGGUUUACCUCGAUGAUAUUAUUAUUUACUCAAAGAACGAGGAAGAGCAUGCCGAACAUCUUAGACUUGUUUUAGAAAAACUCAGAGAGCACCGCCUUUACGCCAAGUUCUCCAAGUGUGAAUUUUGGUUGCCAGAAGUGACCUACCUAGGCCACGUAAUCUCUGGUAAGGGCAUUGCUGUCAAUCCCGAGAGAGUCAAGGCCGUUCUCGAUUGGACUCCACCUGAAAUAGUCAAACAAGUUAGGAGUUUCCUUGGUCUAGCCAGCUAUUGUCGCCGCUUUGUUGAAAACUUCUCCAAAGUAGCCAAACCCCUCACGGAACUUCUCAAGAAAGAUAAAAAGUUCGAGUGGUCCCCACAGUGUGAGUACAGUUUUCAGGAACUAAAAAGACGCCUGACUUCUGCUCCCAUACUUGUGCCACCGGAUUUCACUAAAGACUUUAUUAUCUACUGCGACGCCUCACGACAGGGACUAGGUUGCAUUCUUAUGCAGGAUCGUCAUGUGAUUGCCUAUGCAUCUCGACAGUUGCAUCCACAUGAGGAGAAUUAUCCUACACAUGAUCUAGAGCUUGCAGCCGUAGUCUAUGCGCUCAAGACCUGGCGACAUUACCUCCUUGGUAAACGUUGCGAGAUCUACACCGAUCACCAGAGUCUCAAGUAUAUCUUCACCCAACCGGAUCUGAACCUUAGGCAAAGACGUUGGUUGGAGUUAAUCACAGAUUAUGAUCUAGGGAUUACCUACACCCCAGGCAAAGCCAAUGUCAUGGUUGAUGCUCUAAGUUGUAAAUCCUAUUGCAACAAUCUCAUGUUGCAGCAAGGCCAACCACUUCUCCAUGAGGAAUUCUGUAAGCUUAAUCUUCACAUUGCUCCUCACGGGUUCCUUUCUACCCUGGUGGCGAAACCUGAUCUUAAGGAUCAGAUUAUCGCAGCUCAAAAGCAAGACACAGGAAUUUCCCGGAUCAAGAGAAACAUUAAGAAGGGAGUUGGUGGAUGUUUCUCUAUGGAUGAUCGUGGUGUUGUUUUCUUUGAGAAUCGCUUGGUGGUUCCCAAGAAUCAACAUCUGCGACAAUUGAUUCUUAAGGAGGCGCAUGACUCCCCUCUCACGAUUCAUCCCGGUAGUACUAAGAUGUAUCAGGACCUACGCCAGAGGUUCUGGUGGACUAGGAUGAAGAGAGAAAUCGCUCAGUUUAUUGCUAAAUGUGACGUUUGUCGUCGCGUUAAGGCAGAGCAUCAAAGACCUGCUGGCACCCUUCAGCCUUUAGCUAUUCCUGAAUGGAAAUGGGAUAAAGUUGGUAUGGACUUCAUCACCGGCUUUCCCAGGACCAAGAGAGGGAAUAACGCUAUCUUCGUAGUCGUUGAUCGUCUUUCCAAAGUGGCUCACUUCCUUCCUGUUCGAGAAAAUAUCACUGCUAGUCAGCUUGCUGACUUAUACAUUUCUCGAAUAGUGUCACUGCAUGGUGUUCCACUAGAGAUCAAUUCAGACCGUGGCAGUCUUUUCACUUCUCAUUUCUGGGAGAGUUUCCAAACUGCCAUGGGAACCCAUCUUUCCUUCAGUACCGCUUUCCACCCUUGGUCGAGUGGUCAGGUGGAACGGGUCAAUCAAAUUCUCGAAGACAUGCUCAGAGCUUGCGUUAUCUCAUUCGGUAUGGUUUGGGAGAAAUGUCUUCCUUUCGCCGAGUUUGCUUAUAACAAUAGCUACCAAUCCAGCCUCAAGCAAGCUCCUUUUGAGGUUCUCUAUGGACGAAGAUGUCGAACACCUUUGAACUGGUCAGAAACCGGUGAAAUACAAUUCUUUGGACCGGACAUGAUCCAGGAGGCAGAAGAGCAAGUUCGCAUCAUUCGUGGGAAUUUGAAAACAGCCCAGUCUCGUCAGAAGAGCCAGUACGAUCGUCAUCAUAAGGAUAUGACUUAUGAGAUUGGCGCCCAAGCUUACCUUCGGGUUACUCCUUUGAAGGGUACCCAUCGUUUCGGUAUCAAGGGCAAGUUGGCUCCUCGUUACAUUGGUCCCUUUCGUAUUCUCGCUAAACGAGGAGAGGUUGCCUACCAGUUGGAACUACCCCCACAUCUUUCUCGAGUUCAUGAUGUCUUCCACGUCUCUCAACUCAGGCGUUGCUUCUCGGAUCCUAUCCGUGGAGUGGACCACGAAACACUUGAUCUCCAAGAUAACCUCACAUACCGAGAGUACCCGGUUCGCAUUCUUGAUCAAGCGGAGUGUGUUACCCGACGUCAGAACAUCAAGUUUCUCAAAGUUCAGUGGUCUCAUCAUUCCGAGAGAGAAGCUACUUGGGAGCGAGAAGAUCGUCUUCGACUGGAGUACCCCGCUUUCUUUCCGUCGACCCCUGAAUCUCAGGACGAGAUUUUUUCAAGAGGGGGCGAGUUGUCACAUCCCUAGUCUGGUAUGACCUAGACUAGCUAGCCAUUUGUGCAUCAUAUUUAAAUUUCAUUUAAAUUUGAAAUGAGGAUCGGUGGAACCCUCAGAAUCAUUUUUGAAAAUGACCCAAAUAAAAAUUUCUCCAAAAGGGUCCAAGAAAAUGCUCAUGUUGCCCUCUGAAAAUAUUGGACAGAGAUAAAAAUCAAAACAAUAUUUUUAGGAGCUCAUGAAUAUUUAUUUUGGCCAUUUGGAUUAAUCCGAUAAAUAUUUGCAUUGGAAAUAUAUUUCUAUAUAUAUGAAAUAUGGUCCAAAAAUUAUGCCAAUUAUAAAAGAGCUCUGGAAUAAUAUAUCUAGCUCCUGCAAAAAUUGGCAUAAGGUAAUAAAUUGAUUUAGUAUUUUAUUAAAUCAAAACAAAUGUCAGAAAAAAAUUAGAAAACAAAAUAAAAGGAAGGAGGGGCUUACCUGGGGCUCCCCCCUGUGCAGCCCAGCUGCAGCAGGCCGACCCAGCCAGCAGGCGGCCCAGCCCACCUGCCCCCCCUCCUCUGUCGUCUUCCUCCCCGACAGGGGGACGGCGCGUGCCCGGCUCGCGCGCGCGCCACCGCGCCACGCCACCUCCCUUCCUGCUUGCCUGGCACCUCCUCGUCGCCCUGGAACGCCGGACGACGCCACGCAGCCCCCCCGUACCCUCUCACUCUUCCCCGAUCCUUCCUCUCCUCUCCCUCGCUCUCUCUCUCCCGUGUCCGAACGCGUGGGUCGCCGCCGUUCGCCAUAGCCAUCGCCACCGGUCUCCCCUCGCCUCCCCGACACGCGUAGGAGCUCCGCCCCCUCGCCCUGAAGCUCCCCAUCAAGCCGUGCCCCUCCGGACGUCCCGUGGAGCCGCCGCCGUCGUCUUUUCCAUCGCCGGCCGCCGUGGAUCCCCAUCGACGCUCCGGCCGCUUCAGUGCGUCCCCGAGCCCACUUCGACUGCCGCUGCAACCGCGGUGAGCUCCGCCACCGCUUCCCCCUCCCCGUUUAACUGCCCGCGCGCCGUAGCAUCGUUCCCCACCACGGCCGAAGCCUCUCGCCGCCGUCCAUGUCGCCGUCGCCGUCUCGGCCCGCCUCCGCCCAAACUAAGCACCCUAGCGUGCUCCCGGUGCCACGAGGGUGCCGCCGAGCCCCUCAGGUGGCCUCCCCGUGCCCCGCAGCCCAUUUCCGCUCGAAGCCGAACUCCGGCCGCCGCCCCGAGCUUCGCUCCGGCGAGCUUCGGCAUCCCCGCGGCUUCCCGUCUGCUCCCCUGGAUGCGGACGAGCCCGGGCUACGCCCCGGUGCUCUCACACGCCGUCCCCGUGGCCUGUGGCGCGGACUCCGCCGCGUCCAGAGGUCGCCGGCGGCGAGCCCCGUCGCCUGAGCCCUGCCAUGAGGGCCCGGCCCGUCAGGUGAUUAGCUUAAUGCUAAUCACCGUUUAAUUAACCCCCCCUGACACUGACAGUGGGCCCCAGCGCCACUAACUUCUAAUUAGGAUUUAAUUAACCCCUGUUUAACCCCCCUGUCACUGACGUGUGGACCCCACGUGUCAGAUUUGACCUGGACAGCCGCGUUGACCCGCUGAUGUAGUGAUGACGUCAUGCUGACGCAAUUAUAUAUUUUCUGGAAUUAAAAUAAUUCAGAAAUUCCAGAAAAUGAUUUAAACUUCAAAAAUUCAUAGAAAUUCAACCGUAGCUCAGAUUGAAAUAUUUUAUAUAUGAAAAAUUAUCAGAAAAAUGCAAUCUUUCCAUCUGUACUAGUUUCAUGCAUGACAAACCAACUUAUACAUGCUGAAUAUGAGAAAACACAUUAUGGCAUAUUAAGAGACUUAUUUUUGGAGUUGCAUUUGAACCUUUUGUUCAAAUGGACUUCAUUCAAUUGAAUACUAGUUGCAUUAGCUCAAACAGCAUCACAUCUACAUGCCAUGUUCAUGCAUCAUAUUGUUGCAUAUGAUUGUGUAUUGAUUGCCGGCACCGUUCCUUCUCGAUAGGUCCUGCUCCGGAGACGUUCCAGAGUACCUGUCUGUGAAGCAGUGCCUCCCUUGUUGAUUUACCAGGCAAGCAAACCCCCUUGUUCAUUUCGAUAAAACCCUACUCUCUCGCUCCUGCUCUCAGUUAUUGCAUUAGGACAACAACGGUUCAUCUGCUACUUUGUGCUGCGGUAGUUGAACCCAUUCCUCUGCAUGACCUGUCAUUGCCACAGUAAAUAGUUAAAACCCACUAGCAUGUGUAGGAGUUGAUUGAAGCCAUUGUUGUGUUCCUACCAUGCUAUGCCUGCUAUUGCUUAAAGUUGUGUCAGGUCUGGUUCAUUGGGAAUGAAUUGGAGUGUCACGGUAUGUUCUGAUGCUGAGAGUGAAGUGUGUGAACACGAUUUGGUAAAGGUAGCGGUGAGAGGCCAUGUAGGAGUACAUGGUGGGUUGUCUCACUGGAACCGUCCUUAAGCACCGAGUUCUAUGUAUGUUGUCCAAUGACUCGAUACUACCACACAUUGGGCUCCGGGCGCUCCAAGCCCUCUCGACUUAUUAACCGACUUGAUCUCUGUCCAGGAGUCGCAACUAGUUUCUGGUGUUUGUAGGUAGUGCUAUUUUUCUACCAGGUGGCACCCGGCAGGGUGGGCUUGGGACAGACUAGGCACACGUGGCACAGUGUACCGAGUGGCACCCGGUUGGUGGGCUCGGAAACCCUGCUCACAUCGUUUGGGGCCGUGAGCGACACCCCGGCCGGAUCUCCUUGCGGAUGGAACCCGAAUAGGCGAUAAACCUGGACUAGAGUCUUGUGUGGUUAGUCAGGUCGUGGCCGACACCCUCGCCAGGCUUCCGCUUGAAGGUUGCCGAGAUACAUGACGUGUACAUGGCGGUAAGUGGCGAGAGCGUGUGUGAAGAAGUACACCCCUGCAGGGUUAACAUGAUCUAUUCGAAUAGCCGGGUCCGCGGUUAUGGACUUCUUGGAUGCUUACAUGGUACAUAGACAACUUGAAGUGGAUACUCUAAAAUGCUCAAGACAAGUGUGAGUGCUAUGGAUGGCCUUCUCGUAGGGAGACGGGGAUGAAUCCAUAGUAGUGUAUUGUGUGGUGAUUAGUGGACUCGUGUACGUUGUUUCACCUCAAGAGUUUCUGGUAGUCGUAGAACAGGAUAGCCACAGAGUCAAAGCUGGCUUGCUGCAACUAAACCCCACAUUACCCUCUUGAUACAAAUGCAUGUAUGAUAGGAUCUGAUGUAAGUCUUGCUGAGUACCUUUGUACUCAUGUUGCUUUAUUUAUGCUUUUGCAGCGGAGACUCCGGUCUUACUAGUGUUCUCGUGGACUUCGACUAGUAGCUAGUACCUCAGCUACGAUCUUGAUCGGAUGUUGUAGAUAGUCAGGCUCUUCAGCCUUUUUCAUUUAUAGAUGUCUGUACUCAGACAUGUAAUGCUUCCGCUUGUUGUUUGAUUGCUCUGACUGUUGGGUCAUGUGACCCCUGUUUGUAAUAAUGCUGUGAUGGCUCUUCUGAGCCUUUAUCUAUAUAAGUUGUUGAGUUAUGCUGUGAUGCCAUGUUGUACAGCACAUACUUGCAUGUUAUGCGUACGUGUAAUGUGUAUUGCUAUGUGUGGGAUCUGACUAUCUAGUUGUUUAUCCUUAGUAGCCUCUCUUACCGGGAAAUGUCUCCUAGUGCUUCCACUGAGCCCUGGUAGCUUGCUACUGCUCCGGAACACUUAGGCUGGCCGGCAUGUGUCCUUCUUCGUUCCUGUGUCUGUCCCUUCGGGGAAAUGUCACGCGAUGAAUACCGGAGUCCUGUUAGCCCGCUACAGCCCGGUUCACCGGAGUCCUGUUAGCCCAGUGCUACAGCCUGGAUUCACUCGCUGAUGACCGACACGUUCGAUGCUGGGUCAUGGAUGCCUGUCCCUGUAAGUUAGUGCCACUUUGGGUUUACGACUAGCCAUGUCAGCCCGGGCUCUUUAUCAUAUGGAUGCUAGCAACACCAUCAUAUACGUGUGCCAAAAGGCGCAAACGGUCCCGGGCAAAAGUAAGGCGACACCCGUGGGGAUACCGUGCGUGAGGCCGCAAAGUGAUAUGAGGUGUUACAUGCUAGAUCGAUGUGGCAUUGAGUCGGGGUCCUGACAGCACCCGUGCCAAGCGCGCCUACUCCUGCGCCUUCCUCAGCUCGGCCACCGUCACCGGCACGUCCUCCCUCCCCCCUUCCUCCUGCACCACGCCAUCCUGUGCCUAUGCCCACGCACACCAUGGUUACGCGCGCACAACGUGGUACCUUCAAGCCAAACCCAAAAUACGCCCACCUCGCCACUGACGUAUCACCCAUCUCACCCAUCCCAAAAUCCGUAAGGGCUGCACUGCGUGAUUCGUCGUGGCUAACAGCUAUGCAGGAGGAGUACAGGGCACUGAUGAGCAACCGAACGUGGGAGCUAGUUCCGCGGCCGCCCGGCGCGAACAUCGUCAGUGGCAAAUGGUUGUUUCGGCACAAGCUCCGUGCUGACGGCACUCAAGAGCGCUACAAAGCGCGCUGGGUCGUGCGUGGCUUCUCGCAACGCCCCGGCGUCGACUUCUCGGAGACCUUCAGCCCGAUGGUAAAGUCUGCCACGGUGCGCGCCGUCCUCGCCAUCGCCGCCUCCCGCGACUGGCCCGUACAUCAAAUGGACGUCAACAACGCCUUCUUGCAAGGGCACUUGCGCGAGCGUGUCUACUGCCAGCAGCCUGUGGGCUUCGUCGACGACAGCCGCCCCGAGCAUGUCUGCCUGCUCGACAAAUCCUUGUACGGCCUCAAGCAGGCGACGCGUGCCUGGUACGAGCGGUUCGCGGAGUUUCUUCGGCGCAUCGGGUUCACCUCCAGCAAAUCCGACACCUCGUUGUUCAUACUACGGUGGGGCAACGACAUCGCCUACCUGCUACUAUAUGUCGACGACGUCGUCCUGACGGCCUCUUCCACGACACUACUCCGCCGCUUGAUCGACCAGCUGCUGAGUGAGUUCUCCAUGAAGGAUCUUGGGGCGCUCCACUUCUUCCUCGGCAUCUGCGUCACGCGCACUGCCUCCGGGUUCUUCCUGUCACAGCAGAAGUACGCUGAGGAGCUCCUCGACCGUGCCAACAUGGUGGACUGCCGUCCUGUGUCCACGCCAGUCGACACACAUUCCAAACUCUCCGCCGACGCCGGCGGUCCCGUAGCUGAUGCUUCCGAGUAUCGCAGCCUCGUCAGCGGCCUUCAGUACCUGACCAUGACGCGUCCCGACCUCAGCUAUGCAGUACAACAGGCGUGCCUGCACAUGCACGACCCGCGCGUGCACCAUCUCGCCAUGGUGAAGCGCGUCCUGCUACAUCCGCGGUACCGACGACCACGGCCUCCACAUCCAUCGCUCGCCGGCCUUGGACCUUGUUGGCUACUCCGACGCUGACUGGGCUGGCUGUCCGGACACGCGUCGCUCGACGUCCGGCUACGCGGUCUUCCUCGGCGACUCGCUGGUGUCCUGGUCGUCCAAGCGCCAGCCCACCGUCUCCCGGUCCAGUGCGGAGGCCGAGUAUCGCGCCGUCGCCAAUGUGGUUGCUGAGUGCUGCUGGCUCCGCCAGCUUCUCGGCGAGCUCCACGUGAUCAUCCCCAAGGCGACGGUGGUCUACUGCGACAACAUCUCGGCCGUCUACAUGGCGGCUAACCCGGUGCAUCACCGCCGCACCAAACACAUCGAGCUCGACAUUCACUUCGUUCGUGAGAAGGUCGCGCUCGGACAGCUUGGCGUGCUACAUGUACCUACUACACAGCAAUUCGCUGACGUAAUGACGAAAGGCCUGCCCACGGCAGCAUUCCAGGAGUUCAGGUCCAGCUUGUGUGUCCGUCCUCCGGACACAGCAGCUGCGGCGGGGUGUUGACGCAUGCCUCCUGACCUGGUCACCCACGUCCUCUCUCUCACGUUCCCACGUUCUGCCACCACUGCGUGCUCAACUGCUCGCACGAGUCUCUGCCACUACGGUGUGCACGAUUGUACAUGUAAAACUAUAUAAGCUGAUCAAUACGAUGUCAAGCACGACAGUGUGCAUUGCUCAAUCUGUCUUCAUUUAUCAAGGGUAUUGAUUACCGCACCAGCGACGCUUUCUUUUAAAGCAGGGUGCAUGGACGCCGUGCCAAAUGAAGGAUACCACUGUACCAGUCGUUAAUUAACAUGACUUUCUACUCUUUUCAAGCGGUUGAUCAACAUAGAGGUGCUUGAUACAUUUUAGUUCCAUGACUAAAAGUAAUGGGGAUAAAACUGCUUGGAUCCAAAUAUUAAAAAGACUAAAAUCAAAUUAAUGAGCAUUUAUUAUCUUCUAAACCCUUCAAUCUAAAACUCGAUUGUGUUACAGGUGAGGACUUAAAUAAGGAGAGAAAGGACUAAUCCACAUUUUAGUAGGGGUACCACUGACUAAAAUUUUUUAGUCUCAAGAUUAGUUUUAGCCCCUCUUUAGUCAGGGUCAAGGGUACUUGGAACUUUAGCCUCUUAAAGAGACUAUUUUUAAUCAGACUAAAAUAAGUCCUUUAGAUCCAAACACCCUCAUAAUUUAAUUAAGGACCUCCUUUAAAUUCUAGGAUCUGCGAAGCACAUGUUUGCUUGCUUCAAGAAUUUUAACUGCAGCUCCGUCGGCUCCAGAGCGGAGCCAUUGACCGGAGGGACACCAAACGGGCCCUAAAGUGCCACCCUGCCACUAUGAAGUUCCUGGAAUGCUGCUCAGUUGGGACUGUACGAAACCAGAAUAUGCCUUAUAAGAUGGAAGUUAUCCGAACUAUUUAUUAUUAUUUCCAUAGUAAAACUAUUUAUUAUUACUUUUGCUGUCCAUAAAUAUGAUUGUAUGACGAAAUGUCAACCAUCCUACCCGGGUUUUGAUUAAGGUGUCCCGAGCAUACUCGAACGGAUCAAUACAUACAUCAAGUUUGGCACAUUGUUUGACACCGAGGUCGUUGCUCUCGUGAACUUAAAGCCUCCUUCGGGCUUGAGGGCGAGAAAUUUCCUCACUGGACGAUCCCAAGGAGUCGGCGCUUUACCCUCUCCUUCAUCCACAUCCAAAUCGCACUCCUGCCCUACCCUAACAGGGAAAAUGCCUUUUACACUAAAACUACCGACACGUAAAAUUGACAGGCAUGGCUAAAUGCCAACACAACAUUUCUAAAUGUUUGCCAGGUGCGAAGCAUAGGCGUGCAGAUCAAGAAACAAACAUAACAAGUAGAAUAUCAUUCCACAUGAGACAUGGAUGCCAGACUCGAGGGACCAAUAAUCACGAGGCAAAAUUAAAGGAAGCUCGCCCAUGACUUCACUCUACAGUAAAGAAAUUCCUUGUUGCUUUGCGGAUCAUUCAAAAACAUCUUGUUCAUAGGUUGCUUAGCUUUUUGGCUGCAAUUGGUCUUUACGAGCAAUGGGUCAUCUAGUACUAUGCGAAAGCAAAAGGCGUUGAAGCCAAAUCCAACAACCGAGUUAGGGGGUGAAUCUAAAAUUAAUAUUUACUUCUGCUUCAAUACAACCCCCUUAAACACAUCAACGUAUGACAUCUCCCCAUACCCCUUUAUAAUAAAGGAAAGGAUGGUCUUUUUUUUAAGUGCGUCACCCGGAACGUCUACAUACGCGAAGCCCCCUAUGUGCUGGGCCGGCCCAUUUUUUCUUUCCUUUUUUUGUUAACCUGCAAAAAAGUGUGCACGACGUGAUUCAAACCUGUAACCUCCUUGUUAUGUGCACAACGCAGUAGCCAACCACACAACUCACAUGAUGUGAAUACUUACGUCCUUUUUCUCCUUUUCUUCUUUCUUCUGUUUGUGUCCCACUGAGCGAGGAACUCGUCGGUUUACCUUUUUAUUUUUACUUUUUACUUUUUUUCCUGGUUUCAUUUUCCCGAGGUCGCGGGUUUACUUUAUAUUUUCUCCUUUUCUCGUUUUGUUUGGCUGGUUUUACUUCUUUUUUUCUUGUUCCUUUUCUCUUUCUCUUUCUCUUUCUCUUUCUCUUUCUUUUUUCAUUUUCUUUUACUUUUAUUAAAAUUCCUAAAGAUUUUUUGAAUUGAUGAACUUUUUCAAAUCCGCAAAAAAAUCGAAUCAGCGAACUUUUUUUCAAAUCCACGAACUCCUUUCAAUUUUCACAAACUUUUCUACCAAAAUCUUUGAUCUUUUUUAAAUUAAUGAACUUUUUUCUCCAAAAUAGAUGACAACGACGGGUUUACUAUAGCGAAUAUAUCUUUUCACACUAUUUCUUUCUCUCUUUAUUCUAUUCAUUUUUUGUUUCUUUUUCAUUUUUAAAAAAUGCUCGUGCUUGUGUAAAUUAAUUUAAAAAAUUAAAAUGGUCACCUUUUCAAAUUUUGUUCAAAACAUACAAAUACUCGCAUUUUCUAAAAUUGUAAAGAAAAAUUAAAGAAUGUCCAUGUCUUUCAAAAUUGCAUAGAAUGCCAAAAUAUGGAUAUUUUCUAAAAAGAGCAAACAAAUUUUGAACAUGAACAUUUUUCUGGAAACACUACAAAUUUAGAAUUUAGAAAAAAUAAGAACAGAACAUUGAAACAAUUUUUUUAUAUUUGAAGGUGCUACAUGUGUCGGGCCAACAGACGCCCGAUAGGAGCAAUGCCGUCACCUAGUUGGGCCAAGGCCUAAGCGUUUCUUUUCAAAUUUCUUCUUCUUUUUCUUAAUUCAUUUUCACCUUUUUGGACUUUAUUCUUUUUGAAACAUGUUCAGAAAAUUGAAAAAUUGUUUGGAAUACCAAAAAAAUUCUUGUUUUCAAAUAUUGUCUAUAUGUUUGUGUUCCAAAAGAAGUUGAUGAAUUUUAAAAACAACACUUGGUUUGCAAUUUGUGUUCAGAAUUUUAAUAAAUUGUUGGGAAUUUGUUAACAAUUUUUUAAAAAAGUGUUCAUAUUUGUAAAAAUUUCGUAUAGUUUGAAAUUUUAAAAUUCUGGACAAAUAUCAAGAAAUGAUAUGGAGAUAAGAAAAUGCUCAUAUUCAUUGAUAACAAUGGAAUUUGCAAAUGGCAUAAGCAUUAAAAUUAGGAAAAACUACAUGGUCAUGAAUGCACUCGUGUGGCCAUCUGACGGAUGUAAAAAAACAACGUGCUUUCAAACGGACCCUUUUGGCCUACCUGAACACCUCCGUUGAAUAUGAUCUAUUUUGGACAUCCUUGAAACAACCCAACGUUUGCAAACAGGUGGGCAUGCUCAUGGUAGGCAUCCAUUUAUUGGCCCUUUAAACCGAGAAAACUCUAGAAAAUAUAGAAUUUAUUGGAAAACCAAAUAACUUGGCAUGGAACCUUGAACUGAUCAUACAAGGUCAUGGAAAAAAAUUUGGGGCCAUUUCAAAGAUGUCAAGGAACAACGUGCUCUCAGACGGACCCUUCCGGCCUAUCCGAACACUCUCCAUUGAACAUGAUAUUUGAAAUCUCAGGACUGACCCCAACUUUUUGCAAUCAAGUGGACAUGGCCAUGUUAGCCAUCCAUGCCUUGUUUGAACUAGUUCCGAUAUCGUAUGCACAUGGUGACACGUCGCACGAUUUAUCGGUCUUUUUCAUCAAGAAAACUUCUGAAAAUGCAAAACUUGUCAAAAACCCAAACAACUUGGCAAGGUGC